This 1329-nucleotide ribosomal RNA is filed under the name Staphylococcus sp. Its description in RNAcentral is "bacterial SSU rRNA". It matches the Rfam family "Bacterial small subunit ribosomal RNA", at positions 44 to 1354 of the family's 1533-position model. Lineage: Bacteria; Bacillati; Bacillota; Bacilli; Caryophanales; Staphylococcaceae. The record is from RNAcentral.
GGGUGCUAUACAUGCAAGUCGAGCGAACGGACGAGAAGCUUGCUUCUCUGAUGUUAGCGGCGGACGGGUGAGUAACACGUGGAUAACCUACCUAUAAGACUGGGAUAACUUCGGGAAACCGGAGCUAAUACCGGAUAAUAUUUUGAACCGCAUGGUUCAAAAGUGAAAGACGGUCUUGCUGUCACUUAUAGAUGGAUCCGCGCUGCAUUAGCUAGUUGGUAAGGUAACGGCUUACCAAGGCAACGAUGCAUAGCCGACCUGAGAGGGUGAUCGGCCACACUGGAACUGAGACACGGUCCAGACUCCUACGGGAGGCAGCAGUAGGGAAUCUUCCGCAAUGGGCGAAAGCCUGACGGAGCAACGCCGCGUGAGUGAUGAAGGUCUUCGGAUCGUAAAACUCUGUUAUUAGGGAAGAACAUAUGUGUAAGUAACUGUGCACAUCUUGACGGUACCUAAUCAGAAAGCCACGGCUAACUACGUGCCAGCAGCCGCGGUAAUACGUAGGUGGCAAGCGUUAUCCGGAAUUAUUGGGCGUAAAGCGCGCGUAGGCGGUUUUUUAAGUCUGAUGUGAAAGCCCACGGCUCAACCGUGGAGGGUCAUUGGAAACUGGAAAACUUGAGUGCAGAAGAGGAAAGUGGAAUUCCAUGUGUAGCGGUGAAAUGCGCAGAGAUAUGGAGGAACACCAGUGGCGAAGGCGACUUUCUGGUCUGUAACUGACGCUGAUGUGCGAAAGCGUGGGGAUCAAACAGGAUUAGAUACCCUGGUAGUCCACGCCGUAAACGAUGAGUGCUAAGUGUUAGGGGGUUUCCGCCCCUUAGUGCUGCAGCUAACGCAUUAAGCACUCCGCCUGGGGAGUACGACCGCAAGGUUGAAACUCAAAGGAAUUGACGGGGACCCGCACAAGCGGUGGAGCAUGUGGUUUAAUUCGAAGCAACGCGAAGAACCUUACCAAAUCUUGACAUCCUUUGACAACUCUAGAGAUAGAGCCUUCCCCUUCGGGGGACAAAGUGACAGGUGGUGCAUGGUUGUCGUCAGCUCGUGUCGUGAGAUGUUGGGUUAAGUCCCGCAACGAGCGCAACCCUUAAGCUUAGUUGCCAUCAUUAAGUUGGGCACUCUAAGUUGACUGCCGGUGACAAACCGGAGGAAGGUGGGGAUGACGUCAAAUCAUCAUGCCCCUUAUGAUUUGGGCUACACACGUGCUACAAUGGACAAUACAAAGGGCAGCGAAACCGCGAGGUCAAGCAAAUCCCAUAAAGUUGUUCUCAGUUCGGAUUGUAGUCUGCAACUCGACUACAUGAAGCUGGAAUCGCUAGUAAUCGUAGAUCAGCA